Molecule: ribosomal RNA, 465 nt
Filed under: uncultured bacterium
Lineage: Bacteria
Description: partial 16S ribosomal RNA
Rfam family: Bacterial small subunit ribosomal RNA
Source: RNAcentral
CCUACGGGAGGCAGCAGUGGGGAAUAUUGCGCAAUGGGCGAAAGCCUGACGCAGCGACGCCGCGUGAGGGAUGAAGGUCUUCGGAUCGUAAACCUCUGUCAGCAGGGAAGAACGGGCACUGUGCUAAUCAGCAGUGAAUUGACGGUACCUGCAAAGGAAGCACCGGCUAACUCAGUGCCAGCAGCCGCGGUAAUACGGGGGGUGCGAGCGUUAAUCGGAAUUACUGGGUGUAAAGCGCUCGUAGGCGGUAUGUCAAGUCAAGGGUGAAAUCCCCGCGCACAACGUGGGAACUGCCUUUGAAACUGGCUGACUGGAGUGUGUGAGGGGAUAGUGGAAUUCCAGGUGUAGGAGUGAAAUCCGUAGAUAUCUGGAGGAACAUCAGUGGCGAAGGCGACUAUCUGGCACAUAACUGACGCUGAGGAGCGAAAGCGUGGGUAGCAAACAGGAUUAGAUACCCUUGUAGUC